UACGUAGGGUGCGAGCGUUGUCCGGAAUCAUUGGGCGUAAAGAGCGUGUAGGCGGCUCGAUAAGUCUGCUGUGAAAGUCCAGGGCUCAACCCUGGAAGGCCGGUGGAAACUGCCGGGCUAGAGUCCGGAAGAGGCGAGUGGAAUUCCUGGUGUAGCGGUGGAAUGCGCAGAUAUCAGGAGGAACACCAAUAGCGAAGGCAGCUCGCUGGGACGGUACUGACGCUGAGGCGCGAAAGCGUGGGGAGCGAACAGG
RNAcentral lists this ribosomal RNA (253 nucleotides) under uncultured bacterium. Its description in RNAcentral is "partial 16S ribosomal RNA". It matches the Rfam family "Bacterial small subunit ribosomal RNA", at positions 524 to 776 of the family's 1533-position model. The record is from RNAcentral.